GACGAAGGACCCAAGCGUUAUCCGGAUUCAUUGGGUUUAAAGGGUGCGUAGGCGGGUUGAUAAGUCAGAUGUGAAAUCCCCGGGCUUAACCUGGGAACUGCGUUUGAAACUGAGGAGCUAGAGUGUGGAAGAGGGGGGUGGAAUUCCAGGUGUAGCAGUGAAAUGCGUAGAGAUCUGGAGGAACACCGAUGGCGAAGGCAGCCCCCUGGGCUAACACUGACGCUCAUGCACGAAAGCGUGGGGAGCAAACCGG
RNAcentral lists this ribosomal RNA (253 nucleotides) under uncultured bacterium. RNAcentral describes it as "partial 16S ribosomal RNA". It matches the Rfam family "Bacterial small subunit ribosomal RNA", at positions 524 to 776 of the family's 1533-position model. The record is from RNAcentral.